RNAcentral lists this long non-coding RNA (362 nucleotides) under Ananas comosus (pineapple). RNAcentral's name for it is "long non-coding RNA (ACOM_LNC001414)". Lineage: Eukaryota; Viridiplantae; Streptophyta; Magnoliopsida; Poales; Bromeliaceae. The record is from RNAcentral.
AAUUUUGAGCAUGGAAUAGUCCAAUCAUUUUAUUGUUGGUCCAGCAGUUAGAUGUCUCUAUAAAUAUUUUCAAUUGUUUAACAAAAAAGUAUAAGUAUAUACAAUUGUUUUUGCCCUUUUUUUUUUUUUUUUUACUGAGAAAGGUGGCGUGUUAUUCGCUUAGUUUAUUUUUUAAAAAAAUAAAUUUAACUGAAAAUAUAAAGCUAUUAGAUUUCUAACUUGAAAUCUCGAAUACUAAUCAUUAAGUUUUUUGCCACCUGCAUUACUGACGGGCGAUAUAGAUUUGACAUUUUUCUUUGCGGAUUUGAAUGCUUAUGAAAAUCCGCCCCAAAUAGGGCAGGGAUGGAAAGAUUUUUGUCCCC